UCCAUUGGAAUGCAGCUGAUCCAUGGACUGUUGUAAGUGUGUCUGAUGAUUGUGAUACGACUGGUGGAGGAGGGACGCUGCAGAUUUGGCGGAUGAGCGACCUAAUUUAUCGGCCAGAAGAUGAGGUGUUAGCUGAGCUUGAAAAAUUCAAAUCUCAUGUAAUUGAAUGUGCCGCAAAGCCUUGAGAAGAGCUUCGUAAAGUUCUCUAGCUGUGUUUUCUUCGGACAUAACUCAGUAGGUUGUAGAUCUUGUGUUUGUAGUAGG
RNAcentral lists this unclassified non-coding RNA (264 nucleotides) under Hevea brasiliensis (rubber tree). The record is from RNAcentral. Lineage: Eukaryota; Viridiplantae; Streptophyta; Magnoliopsida; Malpighiales; Euphorbiaceae.